UUAAAUUGAAGAGUUUGAUCAUGGCUCAGAUUGAACGCUGGCGGCAGGCCUAACACAUGCAAGUCGAACGGUAACAGGAAGCAGCUUGCUGCUUCGCUGACGAGUGGCGGACGGGUGAGUAAUGUCUGGGAAACUGCCUGAUGGAGGGGGAUAACUACUGGAAACGGUGGCUAAUACCGCAUAACGUCGCAAGACCAAAGAGGGGGACCUUCGGGCCUCUUGCCAUCAGAUGUGCCCAGAUGGGAUUAGCUGGUUGGUGAGGUAACGGCUCACCAAGGCGACGAUCCCUAGCUGGUCUGAGAGGAUGACCAGCCACACUGGAACUGAGACACGGUCCAGACUCCUACGGGAGGCAGCAGUGGGGAAUAUUGCACAAUGGGCGCAAGCCUGAUGCAGCCAUGCCGCGUGUAUGAAGAAGGCCUUCGGGUUGUAAAGUACUUUCAGCGGGGAGGAAGGUGUUGUGGUUAAUAAC
Molecule: ribosomal RNA, 472 nt
Filed under: Salmonella enterica
Lineage: Bacteria; Pseudomonadati; Pseudomonadota; Gammaproteobacteria; Enterobacterales; Enterobacteriaceae
Description: bacterial SSU rRNA
Rfam family: Bacterial small subunit ribosomal RNA
Source: RNAcentral